This is a long non-coding RNA of Mesocricetus auratus (golden hamster), 507 nucleotides long. RefSeq lists it as uncharacterized. NCBI's taxonomy places the organism in Eukaryota, Metazoa, Chordata, Mammalia, Rodentia, Cricetidae. The record is from RefSeq and is a predicted model, not a curated record. The transcript is spliced from 3 exons.
CAAUAUCUAAAGCUCUGAACAGUUCAGAGCUGAAGACUUUGGAGGUAGCUGCCUGCAAGUGGUUGUUCAAACCUCAAGUAUGAAUCAUCACUUAAACAGUACUUUCAGGGCAGAAUGAAAGUAGAGGAAGAGCCAUGGUUAAGCAGUGGGCAGAUGAUGCCUGAGACUGAUCCUGGUCAUGCCUAAUCAAAAGAGCCACAGCAAAGGUAUUGUGAGCUCAAGGUGGGAGAGCCUGUGUUCCAAACACAGCACUGUUGGAUGCUUCUGUGGAGGAGUGAUGGCGAGCUGACUUCCCAGGUAGAAAAAUGGUGUGUAUUUGGUACUAACUUCAACUAAACAGCACGGUGGUGGUGGUGGCGGCGGCGGCGGCGGCGGCGGCGGCCUUCUUCCUGCCCUGGAAUGGAAACUGAUGACCAGGUUACUGUACAAGGCAACAAGAAGAGGGGUCUCCUCGUGCCCCUCAGGCCGUGGCUGUCAUGGCUCGUCUAAGAAAGCUGUCCCCAUCCU